This 1052-nucleotide long non-coding RNA is filed under the name Glycine max (soybean). RNAcentral's name for it is "long non-coding RNA (GMAX_LNC002621)". Lineage: Eukaryota; Viridiplantae; Streptophyta; Magnoliopsida; Fabales; Fabaceae. The record is from RNAcentral.
AAGUGAAUGGGGAUUUACCUUCUAUUAACUACUCCUUACUGGUCCAUUGUGUGCUUUCUUCAUGGAGAUCGUGUUAGACCAUGCUUGAGUAUAGGACAUUUGUCCAAUUAGGAAUUGAGCUUAUGACCUAUCUAUAAUGUUGAGUAUAUGCCGAGCUUAUGACCUAUAUGGUACAACUUCCAUUCAAAAUGCAUUGAAUUAUAAAUAUAAUGAUGUCUCAAAACUUAAACAAAUGACAAAGCUAGUACUACAAAGCUACAUUACUACAUUCAACAGUUUUACAAGUCUUCAAACUUCAAAAAUUGCAACUUCAAUAGGCACAAAAAAACUAAUGAAAUUUUCAUAAUAGAAGCAACCCAAAAUACAUUAACAUAGUCUUCUAAUCUGAAUUCAGAUAAGUUAUAGUUACACACUACUACUCUCUACCCAUGUUGCAAUUUUACUACCCUUUACACAUGCUGCAAUUUUGCCACACAAAACACGCCUCCAAAGAAACACAACAACUAAGACACCAAAGCCACACUGAAUAGAAUUUGUCCCUUCUUUUCGCACUUACGUUUUUUUUUUUUUUUUUUUGCAUCCUGGAAGUCCUCUUCUUGUGUUCCUCCAUUGCUACCACAAUAAGCUCAUCAAUGUUGCCAUCAAUUUGAUCAGCCCAACGGAAGUGAUUAUAGUACAUACCCAUUAACCCCCUCAACAACGUUAACCAAAGAAAACUUCAAUAAAAAAAUAUGUUCAGACAAAUUAAAAACAAGAAAAACCAAUUUCACCUUCCAAUUAGGGCAACCCUAGAAUAAGUGUCCAAGAUUCUUAGAGCUAUGCGAAAUAACAAGCACCUCCCUGUCCUCACACAAGCAUUUUUUCCAUCUAGGAAUAACGGGUGUCAGAGAUGAUGCUGACGACACACUGCCAUCAACUAAAGAGAAAUCUCUCAAGGUUGAUGAAUCUACUCUUCGAUAAGGAGGCAUGGUGAUAGGUGGAGACUGGUGAUGGCCGAAAAAGCUCAAUGGUUAGGGGUGGUGGUGGGACUCAUGAUUGAGAGAGAAGCUCAA